Molecule: long non-coding RNA, 764 nt
Organism: Lepisosteus oculatus (spotted gar)
Lineage: Eukaryota; Metazoa; Chordata; Actinopteri; Semionotiformes; Lepisosteidae
Source: RefSeq, a predicted model, not a curated record
CUUGGCAACUGGCCUGAGUGGUGAAUUUAGAGAGAUGAUGAAUUAUGACCUUUCCCAGGGCAGGUCUGCCUUCCUCCUGAAGGCCAGUGGGAGAGAAUGAUCAUGUGUCCCCAUCUGCACCAUCUUGGCAGGUCACACAGAAGCAGACUGCAGGUGGGACAUCACCAGCGAAGGGCUACUAUCGCAGAGCUGUGUUUGGAGGAAAGGGUUUCCAUUCAUACAUUAUCCUGAUGGAUUACAAUUGCAUCAAGAAAUGAUCAGGAGUCGCCUUGUAAUGGGGAAUUCUACAACUGUCUCCACAAAGGAACAGCAUGUUCUGCUUUGCCGUUCUUAAUCCAUGUCCGUGAGUGAGGAAGGAGUAGGAACAGGAGAGAAGUAAAGUCUCACCUGGGUUUGUUGUUCUUUAAUGGUUAACAGGUUUUAUUUUCACUUCCAUUUAGUUUCCACACAUCUCCUGGGUCUUGUUUCACAGUUUCAAGUUCACUGGAUUAAGUGCAUCAACAACCCUAAGGAUUUUAAAUAUUUGAAUCAGUAAUGUUCUCCAUUGAAGACUAAAAAGACUCAGUCACUUUAGUCUGUCAGCCCACUAAGAGUGCCAGCCCAGGACAUACUCUUAAUUCCAAGAAUGUAUCUGGCUGCUCUUCUCUGGGCUAUUCCAGAGCAGUAACAUCUUAUUUGUAAGAUCCUGACCAACAUGUUACACUGGAUUCCAGUAAUUUAGAAAAAGGAUGAACCCUGCACAGUUAACAAGAUAACAAGGAAGC